AUCCAGCUGACGAGUCCCAAACAGGAUGAAACACGCUUCAUGAAU
Molecule: non-coding RNA, 45 nt
Filed under: Schistosoma mansoni
Lineage: Eukaryota; Metazoa; Platyhelminthes; Trematoda; Strigeidida; Schistosomatidae
Source: RNAcentral